CGUUGCACUAUCGUUAACUGAAUACAUAGGUUAACGAGGCGAACCGGGGGAACUGAAACAUCUAAGUACCCCGAGGAAAAGAAAUCAACCGAGAUUCCCCCAGUAGCGGCGAGCGAACGGGGAGCAGCCCGGAGUCUGAAUCAGCUUGUGUGUUAGUGGAACGGUCUGGAAAGUCCGACGGUACAGGGUGAUAGUCCCGUACACGAAAGCACACUUGCUGUGAACUCGAAGAGUAGGGCGGGACACGUGGUAUCCUGUCUGAAUAUGGGGGGACCAUCCUCCAAGGCUAAAUACUCCUGACUGACCGAUAGUGAACCAGUACCGUGAGGGAAAGGCGAAAAGAACCCCGGCGAGGGGAGUGAAAAAGAACCUGAAACCGUGUACGUACAAGCAGUGGGAGCCUCUUUAUGGGGUGACUGCGUACCUUUUGUAUAAUGGGUCAGCGACUUAUAUUCUGUAGCAAGGUUAACCGUAUAGGGGAGCCGAAGGGAAACCGAGUCUUAACUGGGCGUUAAGUUGCAGGGUAUAGACCCGAAACCCGGUGAUCUAGCCAUGGGCAGGUUGAAGGUUGGGUAACACUAACUGGAGGACCGAACCGACUAAUGUUGAAAAAUUAGCGGAUGACCUGUGGCUGGGGGUGAAAGGCCAAUCAAACCGGGAGAUAGCUGGUUCUCCCCGAAAGCUAUUUAGGUAGCGCCUCGUGAACUCAUCUUCGGGGGUAGAGCACUGUUUCGGCUAGGGGGCCAUCCCGGCUUACCAACCCGAUGCAAACUACGAAUACCGAAGAAUGUUAUCACGGGAGACACACGGCGGGUGCUAACGUCCGUCGUGAAGAGGGAAACAACCCAGACCGCCAGCUAAGGUCCCAAAGUCAUGGUUAAGUGGGAAACGAUGUGGGAAGGCACAGACAGCCAGGAUGUUGGCUUAGAAGCAGCCAUCAUUUAAAGAAAGCGUAAUAGCUCACUGGUCGAGUCGGCCUGCGCGGAAGAUGUAACGGGGCUAAACCAUGCACCGAAGCUGCGGCAGCGACACUAUGUGUUGUUGGGUAGGGGAGCGUUCUGUAAGCCGUUGAAGGUGUGCUGUGAGGCAUGCUGGAGGUAUCAGAAGUGCGAAUGCUGACAUAAGUAACGAUAAAGCGGGUGAAAAGCCCGCUCGCCGGAAGACCAAGGGUUCCUGUCCAACGUUAAUCGGGGCAGGGUGAGUCGACCCCUAAGGCGAGGCCGAAAGGCGUAGUCGAUGGGAAACAGGUUAAUAUUCCUGUACUUGGUGUUACUGCGAAGGGGGGACGGAGAAGGCUAUGUCAGCCGGGCGACGGUUGUCCCGGUUUAAGCAUGUAGGCGGAGGUUCCAGGUAAAUCCGGUACCUUAUUAACGCUGAGGUGUGAUGACGAGGCACUACGGUGCUGAAGUGAUAAAUGCCCUGCUUCCAGGAAAAGCCUCUAAGCAUCAGGUAACACGAAAUCGUACCCCAAACCGACACAGGUGGUCAGGUAGAGAAUACCAAGGCGCUUGAGAGAACUCGGGUGAAGGAACUAGGCAAAAUGGUGCCGUAACUUCGGGAGAAGGCACGCUGAUGUGUAGGUGAAGCCCCUGCGGGUGGAGCUGAAAUCAGUCGAAGAUACCAGCUGGCUGCAACUGUUUAUUAAAAACACAGCACUGUGCAAACACGAAAGUGGACGUAUACGGUGUGACGCCUGCCCGGUGCCGGAAGGUUAAUUGAUGGGGUUAGCGGCAACGCGAAGCUCUUGAUCGAAGCCCCGGUAAACGGCGGCCGUAACUAUAACGGUCCUAAGGUAGCGAAAUUCCUUGUCGGGUAAGUUCCGACCUGCACGAAUGGCGUAAUGAUGGCCAGGCUGUCUCCACCCGAGACUCAGUGAAAUUGAACUCGCUGUGAAGAUGCAGUGUACCCGCGGCAAGACGGAAAGACCCCGUGAACCUUUACUAUAGCUUGACACUGAACACUGGUCCUUGAUGUGUAGGAUAGGUGGGAGGCUUUGAAGCGUGGACGCCAGUCUGCGUGGAGCCNGACCCGUAAUCCGGGUUGCGGACAGUGUCUGGUGGGUAGUUUGACUGGGGCGGUCUCCUCCCAAAGAGUAACGGAGGAGCACGAAGGUUGGCUAAUCCUGGUCGGACAUCAGGAGGUUAGUGCAAUGGCAUAAGCCAGCUUGACUGCGAGCGUGACGGCGCGAGCAGGUGCGAAAGCAGGUCAUAGUGAUCCGGUGGUUCUGAAUGGAAGGGCCAUCGCUCAACGGAUAAAAGGUACUCCGGGGAUAACAGGCUGAUACCGCCCAAGAGUUCAUAUCGACGGCGGUGUUUGGCACCUCGAUGUCGGCUCAUCACAUCCUGGGGCUGAAGUAGGUCCCAAGGGUAUGGCUGUUCGCCAUUUAAAGUGGUACGCGAGCUGGGUUUAGAACGUCGUGAGACAGUUCGGUCCCUAUCUGCCGUGGGCGCUGGAGAAUUGAGGGGGGCUGCUCCUAGUACGAGAGGACCGGAGUGGACGCAUCACUGGUGUUCGGGUUGUCAUGCCAAUGGCACUGCCCGGUAGCUAAAUGCGGAAGAGAUAAGUGCUGAAAGCAUCUAAGCACGAAACUUGCCCCGAGAUGAGUUCUCCCUGAGACUUUAAGUCUCCUGAAGGAACGUUGAAGACGACGACGUUGAUAGGUCGGGUGUGUAAGCGCAGCGAUGCGUUGAGCUAACCGAUACUAAUGAACCGUGAGGCUUAACCUU
Molecule: ribosomal RNA, 2726 nt
Filed under: Enterobacter cloacae
Lineage: Bacteria; Pseudomonadati; Pseudomonadota; Gammaproteobacteria; Enterobacterales; Enterobacteriaceae
Description: bacterial LSU rRNA
Rfam family: Bacterial large subunit ribosomal RNA
Source: RNAcentral